UCCCUCAUAGCUCAGUUGGUAGAGAAUCUGGCUGCAAUGCAGGAGACCCUGGUUCGAUUCCUGGGUUGGGAA
RNAcentral lists this transfer RNA (72 nucleotides) under Ovis aries (sheep). It matches the Rfam family "tRNA". Rfam says of the family: Transfer RNA (tRNA) molecules are approximately 80 nucleotides in length. Their secondary structure includes four short double-helical elements and three loops (D, anti-codon, and T loops). Further hydrogen bonds mediate the characteristic L-shaped molecular structure. tRNAs have two regions of fundamental functional importance: the anti-codon, which is responsible for specific mRNA codon recognition, and the 3' end, to which the tRNAs corresponding amino acid is attached (by aminoacyl-tRNA synthetases). tRNAs cope with the degeneracy of the genetic code in two manners: having more than one tRNA (with a specific anti-codon) for a particular amino acid; and 'wobble' base-pairing, i.e. permitting non-standard base-pairing at the 3rd anti-codon position. The record is from Rfam by way of RNAcentral. Lineage: Eukaryota; Metazoa; Chordata; Mammalia; Artiodactyla; Bovidae.